This 220-nucleotide long non-coding RNA is filed under the name Helianthus annuus (common sunflower). RNAcentral describes it as "hypothetical non coding rna". The record is from RNAcentral. Lineage: Eukaryota; Viridiplantae; Streptophyta; Magnoliopsida; Asterales; Asteraceae.
GCCGGUUGAAAAGAACAAAGCCAUUCAUGCUUGCCUGAAAAUGAUGAGGUGAUCUACUGUAAAUCAGGAAAAGUGCUGAGGAGCAUUUCAAGCUUAAAAUAGCGGCUCAGUAUAAAAUAAAGAAAUAUGUUUGGAAAUAAGGAUUUAUCACUAAAACUUAUGCAUUGUAAAUUAUCGGGGUUUAUCCCGAAUUGUGAAAUAAAAUAAUCGGGAAAAGUUU